UACGGAGGGGGCGAGCGUUAUCCGGAAUCACUGGGUUUAAAGGGUGCGUAGGCGGCUCGGUAAGUCAGUUGUGAAAGCCCCUUGCUUAACGAGGGAGGUGCGAUUGAUACUGUCGAGCUUGAAUUGGGAUGAGGCAGGCGGAAUGUGGCAUGUAGCGGUGAAAUGCAUAGAUAUGCCAUAGAACACCGAUUGCGAAGGCAGCCUGCUGGGCCGGUAUUGACGCUGAGGCACGAAAGCGUGGGGAGCAAACAGG
RNAcentral lists this ribosomal RNA (253 nucleotides) under uncultured bacterium. RNAcentral's name for it is "partial 16S ribosomal RNA". It matches the Rfam family "Bacterial small subunit ribosomal RNA", at positions 524 to 776 of the family's 1533-position model. The record is from RNAcentral.